This 119-nucleotide ribosomal RNA is filed under the name Helianthus annuus (common sunflower). The record is from RNAcentral. Lineage: Eukaryota; Viridiplantae; Streptophyta; Magnoliopsida; Asterales; Asteraceae.
GGUUGCGAUCAUACCAGCAUUAAUGCACCGGAUCCCAUCAGAACUCCGCAGUUUAAGCGUGCUUGGGCGAGAGUAGUACUAGGAUGGGUGACCCUUGGGAAGUCCUCGUGUUGCAACCC